AAAGCAGUUGAUACACCGAUUGAUGGCAUCGAAAAACUUUAAUAAGACAACAAGUUGAUGAGAUAUAUGUAUAUAGGUUUGACGUGGAUUUCGAUUGCAGUUAAUUAGAAUAGCUCAAUGCUAUAAAUGUAAGUAGUUGAUAUGAAGAAACUAAUGAACUAAAUGCAAGUAUUUUCUAAAACAAUCAUUUUAUUGAAAUUUAGUAGAGCUGAAAUUAAUAUAA
RNAcentral lists this small RNA (223 nucleotides) under Staphylococcus aureus. RNAcentral describes it as "5'UTR". Lineage: Bacteria; Bacillati; Bacillota; Bacilli; Caryophanales; Staphylococcaceae. The record is from RNAcentral.